GGGUUGUGAGGUUAAGCGACUAAGCGUACACGGUGGAUGCCCUGGCAGUCAGAGGCGAUGAAGGACGUGCUAAUCUGCGAUAAGCGUCGGUAAGGUGAUAUGAACCGUUAUAACCGGCGAUUUCCGAAUGGGGAAACCCAGUGUGAUUCGUCACACUAUCAUUAACUGAAUCCAUAGGUUAAUGAGGCGAACCGGGGGAACUGAAACAUCUAAGUACCCCGAGGAAAAGAAAUCAACCGAGAUUCCCCCAGUAGCGGCGAGCGAACGGGGAGCAGCCCAGAGCCUGAAUCAGUGUGUGUGUUAGUGGAAGCGUCUGGAAAGGCGCGCGAUACAGGGUGACAGCCCCGUACACAAAAAUGCACAUGCUGUGAGCUCGAUGAGUAGGGCGGGACACGUGGUAUCCUGUCUGAAUAUGGGGGGACCAUCCUCCAAGGCUAAAUACUCCUGACUGACCGAUAGUGAACCAGUACCGUGAGGGAAAGGCGAAAAGAACCCCGGCGAGGGGAGUGAAAAAGAACCUGAAACCGUGUACGUACAAGCAGUGGGAGCACAGAGCAAUCUGUGUGACUGCGUACCUUUUGUAUAAUGGGUCAGCGACUUAUAUUCUGUAGCAAGGUUAACCGAAUAGGGGAGCCGAAGGGAAACCGAGUCUUAACUGGGCGUUAAGUUGCAGGGUAUAGACCCGAAACCCGGUGAUCUAGCCAUGGGCAGGUUGAAGGUUGGGUAACACUAACUGGAGGACCGAACCGACUAAUGUUGAAAAAUUAGCGGAUGACUUGUGGCUGGGGGUGAAAGGCCAAUCAAACCGGGAGAUAGCUGGUUCUCCCCGAAAGCUAUUUAGGUAGCGCCUCGUGAAUUCAUCUCCGGGGGUAGAGCACUGUUUCGGCAAGGGGGUCAUCCCGACUUACCAACCCGAUGCAAACUGCGAAUACCGGAGAAUGUUAUCACGGGAGACACACGGCGGGUGCUAACGUCCGUCGUGAAGAGGGAAACAACCCAGACCGCCAGCUAAGGUCCCAAAGUCAUGGUUAAGUGGGAAACGAUGUGGGAAGGCCCAGACAGCCAGGAUGUUGGCUUAGAAGCAGCCAUCAUUUAAAGAAAGCGUAAUAGCUCACUGGUCGAGUCGGCCUGCGCGGAAGAUGUAACGGGGCUAAACCAUGCACCGAAGCUGCGGCAGCGACGCUGAUGCGUUGUUGGGUAGGGGAGCGUUCUGUAAGCCUGCGAAGGUGUGCUGUGAGGCAUGCUGGAGGUAUCAGAAGUGCGAAUGCUGACAUAAGUAACGAUAAAGCGGGUGAAAAGCCCGCUCGCCGGAAGACCAAGGGUUCCUGUCCAACGUUAAUCGGGGCAGGGUGAGUCGACCCCUAAGGCGAGGCCGAAAGGCGUAGUCGAUGGGAAACAGGUUAAUAUUCCUGUACUUGGUGUUACUGCGAAGGGGGGACGGAGAAGGCUAUGUUGGCCGGGCGACGGUUGUCCCGGUUUAAGCGUGUAGGCUGGUUUUCCAGGCAAAUCCGGAAAAUCAAGGCUGAGGCGUGAUGACGAGGCACUACGGUGCUGAAGCAACAAAUGCCCUGCUUCCAGGAAAAGCCUCUAAGCAUCAGGUAACAUCAAAUCGUACCCCAAACCGACACAGGUGGUCAGGUAGAGAAUACCAAGGCGCUUGAGAGAACUCGGGUGAAGGAACUAGGCAAAAUGGUGCCGUAACUUCGGGAGAAGGCACGCUGAUAUGUAGGUGAAGUCCCUCGCGGAUGGAGCUGAAAUCAGUCGAAGAUACCAGCUGGCUGCAACUGUUUAUUAAAAACACAGCACUGUGCAAACACGAAAGUGGACGUAUACGGUGUGACGCCUGCCCGGUGCCGGAAGGUUAAUUGAUGGGGUUAGCGCAAGCGAAGCUCUUGAUCGAAGCCCCGGUAAACGGCGGCCGUAACUAUAACGGUCCUAAGGUAGCGAAAUUCCUUGUCGGGUAAGUUCCGACCUGCACGAAUGGCGUAAUGAUGGCCAGGCUGUCUCCACCCGAGACUCAGUGAAAUUGAACUCGCUGUGAAGAUGCAGUGUACCCGCGGCAAGACGGAAAGACCCCGUGAACCUUUACUAUAGCUUGACACUGAACAUUGAGCCUUGAUGUGUAGGAUAGGUGGGAGGCUUUGAAGUGUGGACGCCAGUCUGCAUGGAGCCGACCUUGAAAUACCACCCUUUAAUGUUUGAUGUUCUAACGUGGACCCGUAAUCCGGGUUGCGGACAGUGUCUGGUGGGUAGUUUGACUGGGGCGGUCUCCUCCUAAAGAGUAACGGAGGAGCACGAAGGUUGGCUAAUCCUGGUCGGACAUCAGGAGGUUAGUGCAAUGGCAUAAGCCAGCUUGACUGCGAGCGUGACGGCGCGAGCAGGUGCGAAAGCAGGUCAUAGUGAUCCGGUGGUUCUGAAUGGAAGGGCCAUCGCUCAACGGAUAAAAGGUACUCCGGGGAUAACAGGCUGAUACCGCCCAAGAGUUCAUAUCGACGGCGGUGUUUGGCACCUCGAUGUCGGCUCAUCACAUCCUGGGGCUGAAGUAGGUCCCAAGGGUAUGGCUGUUCGCCAUUUAAAGUGGUACGCGAGCUGGGUUUAGAACGUCGUGAGACAGUUCGGUCCCUAUCUGCCGUGGGCGCUGGAGAACUGAGGGGGGCUGCUCCUAGUACGAGAGGACCGGAGUGGACGCAUCACUGGUGUUCGGGUUGUCAUGCCAAUGGCACUGCCCGGUAGCUAAAUGCGGAAGAGAUAAGUGCUGAAAGCAUCUAAGCACGAAACUUGCCCCGAGAUGAGUUCUCCCUGACUCCUUGAGAGUCCUGAAGGAACGUUGAAGACGACGACGUUGAUAGGCCGGGUGUGUAAGCGCAGCGAUGCGUUGAGCUAACCGGUACUAAUGAACCGUGAGGCUUAACCUUACAACGCCGAAG
This 2927-nucleotide ribosomal RNA is filed under the name Escherichia coli. RNAcentral's name for it is "bacterial LSU rRNA". It matches the Rfam family "Bacterial large subunit ribosomal RNA". The record is from RNAcentral. Lineage: Bacteria; Pseudomonadati; Pseudomonadota; Gammaproteobacteria; Enterobacterales; Enterobacteriaceae.